GCCAUUUUGUACAUGUGCAGUGCAUCCAGUUUUUAAUUAAACAAUUAAUUAUCUUUUUGAAAGUAUUCUUAUGCUUCUUCUGAUUAAAAGCACUUUGUGGAGUCAAGGUUCAAGACUGAUUUGUCAACACUCCUCGUGACACAUUGGGCAACAUGAGGUAGACACAAGUUCAACUAAACUACAAACUGACAGCCUGCAACCUGAACAAGCUACAUCACACAUUGGAGGAUCUCAACUACUGUAUAUUGCAAUGGCCUUUCUGUCUACAUCACAACCUGAUGUUAGGAGGAUUUCACUGAAUCAAGUAUUCAAGUGGGAAGGAAGAUUUUCAAGACGCACUGCUUGAGGAGAUUAACAUCAAUUCUGCAAGAAUUUAUGAACAGUGAAACGUCAUGAACCCAUGGUGCAAGAUUCUACGGCAAGCUGGAGGAGACCGACAAUGCAGCAAUGACUCUGUGAACAAUGUGGACUUGAACUAAACCCAAACUCACUGUUGGCUUUGAAAUGCAGCUCUAAUGCUACAUCUCUGAACAGUGAAACGUUAUCAACUCAUGGUGCAAGAUUCUACGCCAAGCUGGAGGAGACCUUCAUUGCAGCAAUGACUCUGUGAACAAUUUUCACAUGAAUAAACUCAAACUCACUUUUGGCUUUGAGAUGCAGCUCUAAUGCUACACCUCUGAACAGUGAAACAUCAUCAACCCAUCUUUCAAGAUUCUACGCCAAGCUGGAGGAAACCGACAUGAACAAUUUGAACUUGAAUUAAACCCAAACUCAUUGUUGGCUUUGAGAUGCAGCUCUAAUGCUACAUCUCAAAGCCUGGAUUAGAGACAUAACUCAUAACUCUUGAGAUGCAAAUGAGAUGUGUGCAAGGCCGGAGGAUAACGAGGACAUUAUUUUGUGAACCCACCUUCACUGUGCACCCUUUAGAACCUCAAUGUGAUCAACAUACAAGGAGCAGAUCGUUUGUAUAGUAUCUAGAAACUAAUGAAGCAAUGUCAAUGUCCAAAAGUAACAAUCGUUACAGUGGACAUCGCACAACGCUUCCAAUGGCAGUUUGAUUAUCGUCACCGUUUUCAAGAACAGACAAAUUAACUUUUUUUAUCUUUUUUUUUUAAAGUGCAAAUAGUUUUGUUACAAACUUUUUUGUUGGCGACAUCAACAUUUUUCUCAGCCUGUUUAAUUUCUUGGCUUUGAACACAUAUUAGCACACAGAUAAAAUCCAAAGAAAUAGUCCGAAAUUCGUGUUUUUGAACAUGAAAUCUUCAAUAUCACUCAACAAAAAUGCUUGAUUUUCACAAAAAGAAACUAUCUGUGUAACCUGUGUGAUAAGUAUUCUUGAGGAGAAAAUCUUGUCUCAGAUAAUCAGAUAAAUAUGUCUUUAUACAAAAAAAUCACAAGAAACUGCUAGAAAUUCAAUUUAAAUGUUUCAUCAAGACAAAAGAUUUAGUCUCUAAACUAAUGGUUUCUUUAACAUCAAACUCAAUUUACUCCACACAUAGUUUUGUUGCAGGGGCUAAAGUGCUCUUUGUAAAAACAAAAACGGUGACGAUAUCUUUGACAAAUAUAUAUUAAAAUAAAACUGUAGCAUUAAGGUAUAGUCAUCUGUUCAUGCAUGAACAUAUACAGAAUUAGUGUAGUGUAAUACAAUAGCUUGAACUUGAGAAAUGGUAUAACUAUUAAUUUUUAAACAUUCUAUUCCUAAUGGCAUCAGGGAUGCUAAACGGAAAACAUGUAGGACUACAACUAAUUUAAAAUAGGCUAUCAAUAGUUUCCAUAAACCUUUUGUCAACCGUUUCUCCUUAAUCCAACAAAGUCUUAUGUGAUUGGACUCAAACAAAUUGUAUUUCUUGCCUGGCAAAACCGCUGGCUAUAAAACUUAAUGGGUGAGAUUUAGGAAUGUAUAUAAACUCUCCCUAACAUCAGCUGUACCUUUUUACAGCAAACAAGAAACAAUAAGUGACACUUAGUCAAUGUUAAUUCACAUGUAAUUUCUUCAAAAUGAACAAUGACAUGAACAUUAGCAGAAGCUCUUCUAGAAAUGUCAAGACUGUACGAUAUAUCAACCCUGCUUCUUCUCGCAGCCAAAACUUCUCCUGAAAGAGAUUGAAUUCAUUUGAGUCAUAUUCAUCAGUUUUACUUUGAACUUCUUACUUCAUGUAGGCCUACCAUGCAAAUACUUAAAAAUUACUCAAUGGGGGAGAAAGUUGUAAUGAAAUAUUUCAAGUUUAGUUUAGCGUUUCACAGGAAUUAAACCCAUGUUAGUAUUCAUGACUUGAAAGACAUACAAUAGCAUAGUAAAGGAGUUACUUUUCAAUAAUGUUGUUGAAUUUGACCUAAAAACUCAAGUGGAUCUCGUUUAAUUUAGCACAGAGGAAUUCAUGCAUGAACAGAGAAGUAAUAGUACUUGUAGUUUUAAGUUAUGUAAUGAAAAGCCUCUCACAGAAACCCAAACUUUUAUAAAUCAGGUAAAAACCAACAAGGCAAUGUCAAGCAAAACUUCUGGUAACACUUUGGAACACUGGGUGUUAACAGAGUAUUUGAAUACUCUGUCCAAAACUAAAAAGCAAUCAGAAGUCCAUUGGAUUCAGCUUUUUAAUUAGCAUUGUGGUGUAUAAGCAAAUUUUGUUUUUCGUAACUUAUUUAAACUUCAUGAGAAAUCAAAAAAUUUGAAGCUUUUUGUGAGAGGCUUGUCUGUCUUAAAAAUUGUAAGCUAAUUUAGUUAUUAAGUUAGAGUGUGGAGGGUAAGUCUAUAAGGUCUGUUGGUAAGAUGGGUACAAGAUUGGUUGUUACUACUUCUGAACUAAAAACCGUCAGACUCAAAAAGUCAAACAUUUGAUGGUACAACACAUUGGCUGGCACAGCUGAUGGAGUUGUUGGCCCUACUAUCUUCCUUGUUUCCCACUAUUACAAAUAUUCUCAAAAAAACUUGCCAAAGACAAAAACAAAUUUUGCUUUAUCUUUUUUUUCCAGCAGCAUGGACGAAAUGUCUCCAAAAGCUGGCUGGCAUGUUAAUUCUGGAUCUUCCUUUUAAUUUUGUGAAAUCAGUAACAACGUAUUGAUUUCAACCAAACACAUUUUUCAGUCAAAGAUAUUAUGCUGCUAGUCAAAAUUUUUCAUUUUUUAUAUUAUACAAAAGUAUUCAAAAUGGAACCAUAAUGCGAGCCAUCCUGUACAGAAAAAGAUUCUACCAAUUUUACACUUCUCUGAUGUGCUUCAUGCAUUGAAGUGUACAGGCCAAGUGGCUCUCUAAAAUAAGCUUAUGAGACAAAAUCUCAAUUAAAAAAACUUGUGUUGCAUUUCAUUGACUUAUAACAAAUUUAAACUCAUUAUGAAGUAAUGUAUAUAAGCCAAUCUUGUACACCAAAAUCCGAAAUUCUAGCAGCAUUGACAAAAAGUCUACAAAAGCUGAAAUCUAAAUUCUGGAUCUUACUUUUACAUUUCAAAGUCAAAAAUGACACAUUUAUUCUGCCCAUCUUUUUCAAUGAACAAUCCUGUUACUAAUGAAAAGUUAUUUUGUAAUUUACCAACAGCUCAUGAAUGUACCCCUCCCCUUUUGGCACCCCGGUGCAUGCAAGCCAUCCUGGUGCUUGCACGAGUGUUCCCCGCCCGCAGGUGUCGGCAGGCUGGUUGGUGAGUUGUCCUCUGAAUGCACUUGAAGGUGUUUGGCUGUUUGUGAGGUGUCAACCUUCCCAAUACUUGGCGGUCUGGAUGAAUCAGAGACCCACAGUUGGCUACAACAUGGUAAGGAUCCUUUGAACUAUGAUGAUUAAUUUUCUUUCCACAGAGGAGGAUGUGUCCAUCGUCAACUCUGGGCAUUGCAUAUGGAAGAAAUGCCUUCAAGUCUGCUCUGAACUCUACAUUUCAUGAUUUGCAUCAUGGUGUUUUGAUCCAUGAGAAUGGAAUAUCUACAAAUGUACACUUUUGCAAGUAUUUCUGAGAUGUUUGCCAUACAUAGGGAUUUUGGUCACAAUGUUUAAGCCAGCCAAUCAUUUGUUGAGCGAUCACAAUCUAAACCACUCUCUGCCUUGCAUUAAACAAAAGUCAAGUUUGGUAGUUUCAAGCAAAAAUGUACUAAAAGAGCAAUAGUCAAUCUUUUUCGAAAGCAAAAUAUAAAUCCAUUAAAGUCAAUCAAAUGAGAAAAACAAGUUCAUCAGCACAAACAGUGAACAACGGCUUUUCCAAUCAAUGAAAUAGAACUAUUGUAAAAACAAACCGACAAAUAAAAAUUUGUACAACUAAUUCUCAAUGAUAUUUCGAUAAUCCACAGAAAAAUAACCAGUCUUACUUUUACAAAUGAAUAGAAAUAUAAGUGAACGAGCAUUUUUAUGAACUUUUCUUUGUGAAAGCAUAAAUUCAUCCUAGCAAAAUGAUUAACAAAAGGACAAAAACUAGAAUUGAAACGGUUGCCAUUUCAACAAAAGCUCUAAGAAAAUUAUACAUCAAAUUCAAAUGAUGUGGACUCCCUUUAAAACUUAAAAAUUACACUAUCAAACAACAAAAAUAUACAAUCUGCCAAAUUGCAGUUUGUUAAAAAAUAAAUCCUAGAGGCUAAAUCAUACUCAAUAAAAAUGAGUAACGUCUGAACUUAUGUUAACAGUGUUUUGCAAAAAAACUCAAGUUUGUUCAAACUAUGUCUUACUGAAGAGACAAAUCUAGGUUCUGUGAAAUGAUGUUUAAAAAAUCUUCAAAUCCAACUGGAUAUUCUUGAUAUGAACAGAAAAAAAAAACUGUUGAUACAAGAUGUUUCAAAAAAAUUAUUAAAACAAUGAACAGAACUGCACAAAAGGUAGUUCGAAAAUCUAUUUCACUAUUUCAAAGCAGGCCGCCCCAAAAAUAUUGAAACAAAAACAAAACAUCACACGGAGAUUUUAAAAUCAGUUCAAAUUGUAUCCUGCAUGUCAAUGCGUUACAAAGAAAAUACACUUUCUUGUUAAUAAUCGCCAUGACAAGAAUCACAGAUUGAGAAAGGCACCAGUCUAUUGGAGACGUGAGCCUCAAUGUGAUUCUAAUAGAAUUGAAUAUCAGAAAAAUCAAAGUUGCUUACCUUGGAUAGUGAUCCAAUUUCAGUGGCUUAUAGUAAACCAUUUUAACUUGUAACUCCAACCAAUAGUCAGUAUUUGAGCUGAAAUCUAAAAAUUCAGAAAAAGUAUUUUUAACAUAAAAAUACUUGAGAUGUAUGUGCCAGAUCUACAUGUAAAAACAGUGUAGUUCAUGGCCGUACUGUAAAACCAAGGUGUAGUUCCUGGCCAAACUGUAAAAUCAAGGUAGUUCGUGGUCAAAUUGCUAAAUCAUGGUAGUUCCUUGCCACAUUGUGAAAUAGUGGCUCUUGGCCAAACUGUGGAACUGAUCCCAACACCGGGAAAAACAUGGGGUGCCAAACUCUUUAAACUACUCUUAGAAGGAUGGCCUGGGGUGAUAAAGUAUAGCACCAUACUAUAAAAUAGGGCUGUACAUGGACAAUGUGGUGGGUCCCUCAGUCUCGACGGUAAAACUGUGGUGUCGACACAGGGGUCCCAGUCCUGUUAGAUAGGUCCAUGGUAACUUUAAUUGAAGUAGGAAUACAUGUACUGUAACUAUACAUCCUCAGCCAUGCACUGAUAGUCUUCAAUCAAAGGCAAUACCAAGCAUGUUAGGGUUGAAUAUCAAUCAAGGCAUUGACCAAGGUCUUAGGGUUUGAAAUGAAGACAGGUUUUCUUCAGACCUGUGAUAGAUAUAAGAAACACAAGUUGAAAAAACUCUGUGCCUGCAAUUAAUAUCUUAAAAUAAUUAAGUUAUAACCAGCGAUCUUUACAUUGAAUAUGGAAGUUUUUCUCAGGAACAAACAUGGCAAUUGCUGUAAAAAGUCCCUGAACUCGGUCAUUGUAGUGACCACUCAACCAACCAAGAUGGCCACACAGGUCACUUGAUGAAGAUAAACAUUGUUGCAGACAAUGGACAUGCAGCAUGGUAGACAUAUUCAGGGCAAUCCUUUGCUGAUGAUACAUGAUAUGAAAUCCCUGAAAUAUCCCUGAUGGGUACAGUGAAGCUAUCAUGAGCCAGACAGCCCAACCUGAUGCCACCCAUCAGAGGGUUACAACACUAAUGCAGGCACAGUCCACCUAGAUACCCUUACUGGGUAAAGAGACAUUACAGUGGCAGAUUUUAGUAAUCGGACUCUACCCUCCAUGAUACCCAUAUCCUGGGUAGAGAGGGAUUUUAUCUAGCCCAAUAGCUACUGUCAGAGAGAACUAGGACAUAAACUUCACCAAAACAAGGAAUGCACCAUGAGGCGUUUGUUCCCGAAGCAAAGUUCAUGUGAAGACACUUUGACGUCCUUUAAGUGGCAAAGAAAAACCUCAUGCGGAGGUUUCUUUAUUUGAAUGGUCAAUGCCUUGAUUGAAUUUUGCUAAUUCUAGGCACCAUUAAACUUUUAAGUCCGGCUUGGGGUAUUCAGGUUAGUUUUUUAUCACUGCUUUCAUAUAAUCAGUGAAGGUUUUGAAGAAACCAAUAACUCUUAGAAAGAACUUUCUUUGCAAAUCAACAAUUGGUCUGAAACAAAAAGUAUAUCCACUCAUUAUAGGAUUGACAAAAGCAAUGAAUGCAGUCAAUCAUACAAUCUGUAUUACCAACCUUGUUGGUAAUAUUUAACUUUCUUACAUAACCCCAAGCCUGGUUUGUCCUAAAACUGAUAGUAGGUUUGUACCAUGUACAAAUAUAGUCCUGAAAGUUCUUCACAUUUGUGUACACAAUGGGAUAUAAACAUGCAAUAAAUCUGUAAAAGUUUAGCUAACCUUUGAGUAUGAGGAGAAAUAUGUGGAGUCUUAUAAACCCACUUACCUCCAUCAUGAUGUGAUGCUCUAGGUGACUUCACUCCUGGCUCUAGAGCCAGUUAACAAUUCUCCCAACUAUCGCAGUAGCAAUCACAUGUAAGUCUUUGCCUUCCAGUUGUCACUUACAAUGCAGGAGCAGUUAUUAAUGUGAUGUCCUUAAUAACCAAAAACAUGGGAUAAGCUGAUCACAACCAGGAAUGAACCAAGUCCUUAGGAUAUAAAUCAGUAUCAGACAACAUUGUACUAAUUACUUAGAUCACAAAAAGCACAGCAAGCUUGACUUUGUAUUUGUGGCCCUUUUAGAUAUUGUGAAGAACUUUCAGGACAUUUUCUUUCUCAACCUUGCUUGGUAUUGCCCAGCCUCGUUCCCAACAACUCGUCCGAAAUGGGCCAGUUGUUAUUUUGUUUGUUGACCCUUUAUGGAAACAUGGUAAUCUAUUAGACACAAAUAAUGGGUACGCACAUAAUUACCCCCCCCCCCCCACCCCCACGUAGGCAAACUGAAAAAUGUGGUCACUGUCCCUUGUCAGGUGAACUUAUAUACAUGAACCUACAACAUCUAACAAUAUAAGCCCUACUGGGCAAGGUGACAGUGGUCAACACCAGACUUUAUUGAUCCACACACUAUGUCCACCACUAGACCCAGUUAUAGGUAACAAAGUUUAGCUUAAAAGUGGCCACUUCUAGAUACUUUUUAUUUGUGUGGCAACCAGUAACAUACAUCUAGCCCCUGUUUGGCAACCUACAGCCUACAUUUAACCUCUUGUUGGGCAACUGAUAACCUACAAGUCCAUGUUAGGCAACCAACUACAUACAGUAGCCCCUGUGGACCAGCCUACAACUAGCCCCUGAUGGUAAACAAAACACCUACGACUAGCCCCUAUUGGGCAGUCGGCAAACUGCAAACCCCUGUCAGGCAACCAACAACACCUACACGUACCAAUAGCCCCUGUUGGUCAACUGCAACAAUGCCUACCACUAGCCCCUUUUGGGCAAUCGGCAACAAUGCCUAUCACUAGCACCUGUUGGGCAACUGCAACAAUGCCUACCACUAGCCCCUGUUGUGCAUCCAACAAUUCUUAAAACUAGCCCCAGUUGGGAAACCAACAAUGCCUACAACUAGCCCCAGUUGGGCAACCAACAAUGCCUACCAGUAGCCCCAGUUGGGCAACCAACAAUGCAUACCACUAGCCCCUGUUGGGCAACCAACAAUGCUUACAACUAGCCCCAGUUGGGCAACCAACAACGCCUACCACUAGCCCCUGUUGGGCAUUUGCAGCAAUGCCUACCAUCCCCGUCUGGCAUUUGCAACAAUGCCUACCACUAGCCCCUGUUGGGCAACCAACAAUGCCUACCACUAGCCACAGUUGGGCAACGCAAACCUGCAACAAGACCCAGUUGGUAAAGUGUUUGAUCAUUGGUGACCCACACUUUGUUCACAAAACUACAAGUUAUUUAGUUAUACCCAUAAAAAUGCCCUUUCAGCCCAUAUAUGGGCAAAGUGAUUGAUCAGCAAACGCAAUCACUACUCCCAAUAUUCUAAAACAUUCAAUCAGUCCCAUUUCAUAGUGAGAUACUGUGUGAUGGAUUACCAUGGGAACGAGGUGAUAAACAUUGACCUAUCGCCAUUCUCAACUCAGCCAUAUCUAGGACAAAUAAGUGAUAGCAAGUUAAAACAAGCACUCUCAGGAAGUAGAUGCAAAUGAAGCAUUGGGUGUACAGCAGGCAUUUGAUGUACUUUUUUGUCAGAGAAUAAUGGGAAAAUUUACAUGAAUAAAGAAACACAUACUGGAUAUGUAUGAGUUUCAUCAUGUAUUGUCUACAUAUAGCCUACUGCUAGAAAAGUAAAAAGAAAGGAAAAGUGCUCAUUUGUGUUUUGGAUGAAAAUACAAUGAAUAAUAGUGAGCACAUACUGCACAUGAAUGAGCAUCAUGUAUAGUUUCCAUGUAGGAUAAGUACGUCUCAUUGCCCUGUGUCCUAAAUGAGGCACAUUGUACGUCAGGUAUGUACAUGAAUAAAUACAUACAUCUUGGUAUGUAUGCAAUAGGUUAUCACUUUCCAGUAUUGUAGAUCAGGUUGAUCAUACAAUGUGCUUAAUGCACUGUAUUUGGCUAUCAUAAUAUGAAUGGCGGUAGGUCAAACGUCUUUGAUUGAAGACUAUCGAUAAGCUCCAUGUAAUUUUUAGGGCUGUAUCCACCACUGGUUUAUAAGUUGAGUAGUGAAACUAAAGUUGUAAACCAUAUCAUCAAAUGUUGAAAGAGAAUAAAGUGACACCCCAUAUUUAGACAAAUUUUAGCUGUCGAACGUCAUUGGAAAAAACAUGCAUUCAUCUUUUGUUGAUCUCAAGGAAUGCAUUAAAAAAAUCAGAACCAGAUCAAUAUAGACACCAAUCUGUAAAAGUGUCAAGAAAGCAAACUAGUCUAAAAAACAAUGAGCAAAAAGCAUUAACACAAGUCAGUUUUAACAUUGAACUUGAUCACUGGAUCCAGUGUUCCACUUCAUUGUGGUUGUCACUUUGAAAGAUUAGUCACAUACAAAAAUGUUGAAGGAUGAUUUGAAUCAGUACAGUAGAAAGAUGAAACUGCAUCAAGUUCAAUAAUCCUAAAGAUGAGCUGAAAAAGGAUACUGAAGGUGAAAAACAAGUUAAGGAUAUUUUAACUAACACUCUAUUGUGAGUGUAAGUUCACAUGUGGUAAUUUGAGCCAAAUACUUGGAUGUAAUUACCCAUAGGAUUCCAGCUCUGUCACUACUUAUUAUUUUAAACCAGUGGUGUAUACAGUCUAUCCAAUGUCCAUGCAUACAACUAGCUCUAGGACUAAGGCCUUGCUACUAUGAUUUUAAAUAACAGAGAUGUAGGCCCAGACAGUUGUAGUCUCAGGUCUUUUUAGAUUGCUUAACUUAAUAAACCAAAGUAGAUUUGUUUACCUUGGUACAUGGAGUAUUCCAGUAGCUGUACAUAAGAAUCAUAGGAGUGUAGAUACCCCGCUGGAUGGUAAUUACUAUCACUCAUUAGUUCCUCAGUUACACUCAUGUAUUGAAGGUCCAUCUUAUACAAGAUUCUGUAUAGUAUAGGAAAAGAUCAGCAAAGGAACUUCAUAUGAACUGAUGUACGAGCAAAGAAAUCUCAGAUUUAAGUUCCAGUCCUGGAGAGAUAGAAAUAAAAAGAUGAAUACAUUAAUUGACCUACAGUAUGGGUUACUUCUUGGGGUAUACCCUACUUCAUAGCAAACAGUGUUAACAAUCAGUCUGUGGUUGUCUUUUUGAGGCAGAAAUCAAGAUAAGUCGAUUGAUGUAGGACUACAUAACAAAUACAUUUUUGAUCACAACUUGCUCACAAGUAACAAAUGAUCAGUUUCAGCCAACAAUCAGAAAUUUUUACUUUUGAUGACAAGUUUUGUGUAGGUAUUAUCAAAUAAGUCACAAAGCUACUACCACAGAAAUGUAGUUAGUAAAAGAAAACAGCAUCAGGCAAUGUAGCUACCUUAUUACAUCAGGCAUAGCUUUCCUUACAGACAGUAUAUCUACCCUCACAUCAGGCAUGUUCAGCUAUUACACUAAGCACAGCCCAUAGUUGUUCAGUUUGUACAAGGUGUACAAAUGUAAUUUAGAAGGAACAGUUGUAUGCAUGAGACUCUUGCAGGCCCUGGGAAAGCCUACACUGUUGUUUAAGGAUUCACUUCAUCAAAGCUGAAGUGAAGAAACGUUUAUGUUUUAGGCAUCUGUAUUCUAGUUCCAAUCAGUUUGCUCAGCAGAAACAAAUUUAGUGCUAAACACAUGUAAAAAUCGUUCUUAGUUUGCAUAAGCAGGGUAGUUUUAGGGGUUUAACAAAAUGGACUGUAGAAGGCAUAAAACAUUAAGCUAUAUGCUUUUACUUCAAGUAGAGUUGAAACAGCAGACAGGAAUAGUUCUAUUAAAAAAUCUGCCAACUCAGCAAAUACACAUUUAGUUCUAAUGACUUGAAUGAUAUAAUCUUGAAUGUUUUUUCGAUGGACUCUUCGUUUUCUUAGCCUCAAGUAACGAUGAAAUAGCAAUCAGAAUCAGUUGAUAUUGAAUGGUCAAUAUGAAACUCUCCUUUUUAGUGUAGAAGAAUAACAUUAUUUGAUUGAUCAGAAAGCACAGUAGAUUGUAAUGCAAACUAAUUUUAACAAACUAAAUGCAAAGCUACAAUCCUUAACAACUCAAAGGAAAUGUAACAAUAAGACAAGAGAAUAGAAACUAUAAAUAGAUAGGUUAUUAUUCGUAGCAAACUGACUGGUAGAGACGGCAGUAAAAAUUUCCUUGGUAUAUUUCCCAGGGCCUGCUUAUCAUAGGUUAACAUGUGAGCUUUAAAAGGUGCAUGGUAUCUGUUAUACAUGAGGAUGUAUAGUAAAAUGUACAGUGCAUGAAUUACAAAAACUUCAAUUAAUUUUACCAUGGACAAAAGAAGGCAGGACUGGCAAACCCUGUGUCACCAAAGGCACCAUAGUUUCCCUUGAUACUGAGGGGCAGAUUUAGAAGGGGCGGAUCCAAAAUCAGAAAAGGAGGAGGUGAAAUUGGCCGGAGGUCCUGUCAUGAAAGGGGGGGGGGAUUUAGGGUUUGUCACACAUAGGAUUGUGUCUAAAAUGCACUUUGCAUUUAGACAAGUGAAAUUAAAAUUCAAAGAUGUAUAAUAAUUUUUAUCCAACCGUUUUUGGCGCUUGCGUUGUGGAUGUUGUAUGAAAUAAAUAAAUAAUAGUAAAGUGAACUUAAUGAAAUCACCAAACCUCAUAAUGUAAAUUUGACAAAUGAGACUAAAAAUGACUAUCUUUUGUAGUCAUUAUGAUGUUUCAGCAACGUUUUGAUGCCCAUUUCAGCAAGACGCCUGUUUUGUAUAGCAAGUGUCUUAAAUUUCAAAGAUCGUUUAGGUUUGGUAGUCAUCAUGACGCUGUAAAUGCGUUGAGAUGAGCCAAACAGCUUUUCAAAAUACUACACGAGACUAAUAAAGUAACCUAUUACACUAUAGUCCAAUUAAUGAGGAAAGUAUUUUGCAUAUUGCGGAAAAUAAUACUCAAGUGCUCCAGGUAGGGGCCCUUCUGAAUAAUCUUAAAAACUUGUAAGGGAUCAACUGUAGAUUGUGUGACAAAAUCUGUUUAUUGCCCCCCCCCCCCCCUCAUAAAAAGGGGGAACAAAAUAGAAAAUGUACCAAAGUACAGAAGGCAAUUGUAACAUAGAAAAAGAAGAAAUAGACAUGACAGGGCUUUCCGGCAAAAUGUAAGGAAUAAAAAGAAGGGAGGUCCAACACAAAAAGAAGGGACCUCCAAUGGAUCCGUCACAUUAAAUUUUUCCACCACAUUGUCAAAAAUUUAGCCACAAACUGAGUAUGGUGCUCACAAACAGAUACCCCAGGACCAUGUUACAGAGAAAAUAUGCUACUCAAAACAGUGUAAGGAAAACAAAGAAAAAACUAUGACCCAAUAAGACACACUCUAUAAAGAAUGAGUCGUUACAUCAGGCAAUCAAGAUGCGCGAAUACAAAUGAUAAGACAAAAAUUAGUCUGCACUAAGUUCAAGCAAAACUACAAAUGAUUGUAUCAAACUAUUUGGAGUACAGGAGUACAAGUCAGUGAUUCCAAAAGUGAACAAGAAGACAAAAUCUUCAUUAACAUAAUGUCUUUGCAGACGGAACUUAGCAAAGUUUAGUUUGUUAACUCAUUUUUGAACCUAAGCAUAAACUUUUGUAACUCAGUUUGAAGUGUAGUAACAUAAGUGAAGUUGUGGAAGCUCACACUUAACCAACAACUAUCAUUUGGGAAACAUGUCAGUUUAUGGACUUAACAUGUUUAGUGAAGUACUUUGGACUCAUAAAUACAUGAGAACCUUGCAUUGUUUUGAGUAGCAGGAGAGUUUGGCACCCCAGAAACUUGGACAGGUUUAUUUUACUGAAGUUACAAGUUAAAAAUUAGUUUAUCGCAACGGAAGUCUAAAUGGUGAAAAAAAUAAAAAAUAAUAACCUGCUUGAAAUCAGUGAAAUAGAAUUAAACACGCACCAUAAAUAACAUCAAACAAAUCAAUUUAAAUCAUUCGGACUUCGGAACCUUGUAUUAAAUACAAAAUGCCUCGAAAGUAGGAUGCAGGAAUUGCUGCUGUUCAAAUCUUUACGCUCUGCAAAAUGUUUCAACUUCAAGUAGAAAUGGCAACCAAAUCAAUUAGAAUCUCAACUUUUGAAAAGCAUUAAAAAUAACUCGUCACUUUAGAGUUUUCAAAAGCAUUUCAAAAUAUUAACAAUCUACGUUAACAUUUUUGAAAUACAUAGCUUCAUUGAAAAUGUGCUAGUUUUUUACCUCCUUGCACUCCGCUAAUGCACUCAAAAUCCUCGAACAGUUUCUAUAAUAGAAAUAUGAAAAGCUUGUUCAUUAAAGUUCAUUUGCAUAUAAACAGAGUCACCUCGUCGUCGUGUUUUAAUUACACACAUUAAAAUAAAUUCACUGUUUGUACUGAUGAACUUGAACCAAGGCUAAAUGCAUUAUUACACGACAACUUACUAAAUAUGUCCUUGAGUGGGAAAUCAUUAAAACAGCGUUUAGUAGCACAGCCUAGUCAUAAAAUAAACAGAUAUUUGUUUUAAAACAUGCUAAGGAACACACUAAAAAUGGCAGAGAAUUAAUAGGGUCUUCUUUGUGGCGUUGGCAAAUAUGAUAGGUGCGGUUGAAAACAAAAUGUGACCUUUAAUCUUAACAUGGCAAACUAUUAAAGAACACUUGCAAAAAACGUACAUUUGUUUGGUAUUUCAUUUAAUAGGAUCAACAACCAGGAUGCAAAUUAUGCAAAUGUAAGUUCAGAAUAGACAUUGAGGGUAUUAUUUCCAUAUGUAAUGUCAGGAGUUGGAGAUAGAUACAUCUAACUCAGUGUUAAGUUAAUUAAUUAUUAUAGUUCAUUAGAUCCUUCCCUUGUUAUGGUCAACAGAUGGGGCUUUGGCCACACAGACUAAUAUAUAUUGGGGACAAUUGAACACUGAGCUAAGUCUAUCACUGAAUGGUGUUGAAAGAGGCACUCUCUGACAUAGUCUGUUGACACCUGUGGGCGGGGAACACUUGUGUGAAAACCAGGGGGGGCUUGCAUGCACUGGGGUGCUGUUCAUUUUUUUAAUAAAGGUCAAAGGUCAAAGGUCAAAUUUAAAUUUUUCUAUGAAUAUUCAUGAACACAUAUGAACUGAUGUGAAUAAAUAACAAGAGACUCAUGAA
This is a long non-coding RNA of Asterias rubens (European starfish), 14008 nucleotides long. RefSeq lists it as uncharacterized. The transcript has 3 exons. NCBI's taxonomy places the organism in Eukaryota, Metazoa, Echinodermata, Asteroidea, Forcipulatida, Asteriidae. The record is from RefSeq and is a predicted model, not a curated record.